GAUGAACGCUGGCGGCGUGCCUAACACAUGCAAGUCGAGCGAUGAAACCGCCUCCGGGCGGACAUGAAGCGGCGAACGGGUGAGUAACACGUGACCGACCUGCCCCCCGCCCAGGGACAGCCCCCCGAAAGGGGGAUUAAUACCUGGUACUCCGGAAGCGGCGCAUGCCGCGUCCGGGAAAGCUUUCGCGGCGGGGGAUGGGGUCGCGGCCCAUCAGGUAGACGGCGGGGCAGAGGCCCACCGUGCCGACGACGGGUAGCCGGGUUGAGAGACCGACCGGCCACAUUGGGACUGAGAUACGGCCCAGACUCCUACGGGAGGCAGCAGUGGGGAAUUUUGCGCAAUGGGGGCAACCCUGACGCAGCAACGCCGCGUGCGGGACGAAGGCGUCCGCGUCGUAAACCGCUUUCAGCGGGGAACACUUCAACGAGGGUACCCGCAGAAGAAGCCCCGGCUAAAUACGUGCCAGCCGCCGCGGUAA
RNAcentral lists this ribosomal RNA (481 nucleotides) under uncultured bacterium. RNAcentral's name for it is "partial 16S ribosomal RNA". It matches the Rfam family "Bacterial small subunit ribosomal RNA", at positions 28 to 523 of the family's 1533-position model. The record is from RNAcentral.